CCUACGGGAGACAGCAGUGAGGAAUAUUGGUCAAUGGGCUUACGCCUGAACCAGCCAAGUCGCGUGAGGGAAGACUGCCCUAUGGGUUGUAAACCUCUUUUGUCAGGGAGCAACGCCGGCUACGUGUAGCCGGACUGAGAGUACCUGAAGAAAAAGCAUCGGCUAACUCCGUGCCAGCAGCCGCGGUAAUACGGAGAAUGCGAGCGUUAUCCGGAUUUAUGGGGUUUACAGGGUGCGUAGGCGGAAUGCCAAGUCAGCGGUAAAAUCGCGGGGCUAAACCUCGCUCUGCAGUUGAAACUGGCGUUCUUGAGUGGGGGAGAAGUAUGCGGAAUGCGUGGUGUAGCGGUGAAAUGCAUAGAUAUCACGCAGAACUCCGAUUGCGAAGGCAGCAUACCGGCGCCCAACUGACGCUGAAGCACGAAAGCGUGGGUAUCGAACAGGAUUAGAUACCCCAGUAGUC
This 460-nucleotide ribosomal RNA is filed under the name uncultured bacterium. RNAcentral describes it as "partial 16S ribosomal RNA". It matches the Rfam family "Bacterial small subunit ribosomal RNA", at positions 338 to 795 of the family's 1533-position model. The record is from RNAcentral.